This is a long non-coding RNA of Cydia splendana, 875 nucleotides long. RefSeq lists it as uncharacterized. NCBI's taxonomy places the organism in Eukaryota, Metazoa, Arthropoda, Insecta, Lepidoptera, Tortricidae. The transcript has 2 exons. The record is from RefSeq and is a predicted model, not a curated record.
AUUCAUAAGUUGAGUUUAAAAAUGCGUAUGUAACCAGAUCGGGCGAAUACGUUGCUAGCGCGCCAGUAGCUUACCGUUCGCACGCUGCGUAUUGCAAACCCAGUGGCGGAUGUGCCCAGUAAGCCCGACCUAAUGCGACCAGAUAUCAGGGGCGGCAGUCUAUAAGAUAGGUGUUGAGAAAGGGGUGGCUCUAGUACUUCCUACAGAGUACCGGCCUGGCCACGACAUUGCGCGACUGGCUUCGGCUAAGGCGAAAAGCAUAGGUGGGAACGAGAGGUCCGAACGCUGUGUCUCGCUCCAACCUAUGGUUGUCGCCUUAGCUGAAGCCAGUCGCGCAAUGUCGUGGCCAGGCCGUAAAUCAGGGCCUAGAGCGGCCUAGACUACAAAUCCGCCACUGUGCAAACCGCAUGCGGGCAGUUUGCAAUCUUUUCGCAAAUGGUUCGCCACUGGCAUGCUAGCAUGCACCAGAUCUGAACGAACCCUUUAAAUGGUGCAUUACCUAAGAGCUUCUUAAUGACAAUGUGUGCUGGGAAAUUAUUCGAUAUCGCGAAGCAAAUUUUUUUUGAGGGAGCUUUUUAUACCUACUUGUUUAAUUUAACACACGGUAGGAUACAACUACAAUAACUAGAUACGUACUCAUUCAUAUGUCCGCUAUUAAAAUGGCCAUAUUAACAAGUGCCAUUAUAGUGGUCGUUCGAAUAAUCAAUGCGACGUAAUGAUACGUAAGUUCUUGUUAAUUUGGCCGUUUUGGUGAUAUACUAGAUUAAACUAGAUUUAAAGUACCUUUCCACAACGCUAACGGUUUUGGUAAAUCUCUAUGUCUAUCCUUGUAACCAGUAUUUAUUAAAUAUUAAACGACUGUGAUUUUUAUUAUA